This 77-nucleotide transfer RNA is filed under the name Candidatus Omnitrophota bacterium. RNAcentral's name for it is "tRNA-Arg". It matches the Rfam family "tRNA". Rfam says of the family: Transfer RNA (tRNA) molecules are approximately 80 nucleotides in length. Their secondary structure includes four short double-helical elements and three loops (D, anti-codon, and T loops). Further hydrogen bonds mediate the characteristic L-shaped molecular structure. tRNAs have two regions of fundamental functional importance: the anti-codon, which is responsible for specific mRNA codon recognition, and the 3' end, to which the tRNAs corresponding amino acid is attached (by aminoacyl-tRNA synthetases). tRNAs cope with the degeneracy of the genetic code in two manners: having more than one tRNA (with a specific anti-codon) for a particular amino acid; and 'wobble' base-pairing, i.e. permitting non-standard base-pairing at the 3rd anti-codon position. Lineage: Bacteria; Pseudomonadati; Candidatus Omnitrophota. The record is from RNAcentral. RNAcentral also lists the same sequence under 1 other name.
GCCCCUGUAGCUCAGAUGGAUAGAGCGAGGGCGUCCUAAGCCUUGCGUCGGGGGUUCGACUCCUCCCAGGGGCGCCA